RNAcentral lists this ribosomal RNA (468 nucleotides) under uncultured bacterium. Its description in RNAcentral is "partial 16S ribosomal RNA". It matches the Rfam family "Bacterial small subunit ribosomal RNA", at positions 28 to 507 of the family's 1533-position model. The record is from RNAcentral.
GACGAACGCUGGCGGCGUGCUUAACACAUGCAAGUCGAACGGAAAGGCCCUGCUUUUGUGGGGUGCUCGAGUGGCGAACGGGUGAGUAACACGUGAGUAACCUGCCCUUGACUUUGGGAUAACUUCAGGAAACUGGGGCUAAUACCGGAUAGGAGCUCCUGCUGCAUGGUGGGGGUUGGAAAGUUUCGGCGGUUGGGGAUGGACUCGCGGCUUAUCAGCUUGUUGGUGGGGUAGUGGCUUACCAAGGCUUUGACGGGUAGCCGGCCUGAGAGGGUGACCGGCCACAUUGGGACUGAGAUACGGCCCAGACUCCUACGGGAGGCAGCAGUGGGGAAUAUUGCACAAUGGGCGGAAGCCUGAUGCAGCAACGCCGCGUGCGGGAUGGGGGCCUUCGGGUUGUAAACCGCUUUCGCCUGUGACGAAGCGUGAGUGACGGUAAUGGGUAAAGAAGCACCGGCUAACUACGUG